AGUGUGUACACGUCUGUCGCGAGUGUAAGCCCCUUCACGCGUAACAUCGAACUCGAACAUAUUCCGAGUUGCAUAUUUUUCCUGGGCAAACUUUAUGCGACGCCUGCCGCGCGUACGUCGCAUCGAAUUUUGACGCGAGAAGAUUCGAGCCUUGCCGUUGUAUUUUAACCGGAUUACCCUAUUGCCGUUUCGCGUCGAAAAUUUCACGCGUGUAUCACUCGCGGUCUUAUGCGUCGUAACGUUGUUGCAUUAUCGUUCAACGCGUUAAGGAGCAAACGUUUCAACGAAUACUGCACUGUGGAAGAUAGUAGAUGGAUAGAAAUGUAAAAUUUUUGACUUGAGUGCAAGGAAUAGUUAUGUGCGAUAAAAAUGGGCUUGAUGGCACUCUUGCUUUGUUUACGACGAUCUCACGGAUGAACUUCCAGAAAUAAUAAACUCGUAGAGAAUGUCGAACUGUAUCUGAUCCGAGUUUUCUUUAAGUUAUUCGAUAUAUUCUGUGUGGCUUCUUUGUUUGUUGUUAUAAAAAGGCCCGUUAAGAUUGACUGCCACAUGGAUAGUUAACAAAGUCGGAACUCCUGCGAUGCUGGUUAAUUGAAGGGAACACAGUAGUUGGCCGAUAGCACGGCUAGUAACCGUCCAAGUUACGAAGCGAAAUGUUUCGCCGGCAUGCGCACUAUCUAUCGUGUAAACCGUUACAUCGUUAGGUUCGAACGCUGCUUUGAAACACCGAGCCAGGCACAUUUGAGGAUCAGCAGCGUUCCUUCACGAAAUAUCCAGAAUCAUCCCUCUAAAGCACGCAAUGCUUGCUCGACGGUUGAAAUAUUAGGGUGACGAGGGGAUUUCUCAGUGGAAACUUUUCCUUGGGGAAGUCAGGCCUCUUGUUAUUCUUUCUGUGAGUGCCUGAAUCAUCGCCAGCUUUCCGGCUUUCGUCGAAAGUUAAUCUCGUCGCAGAUUUUUCGCGUUGUGUUGGCACUCUGUGCUCUGGACGGAUUAAGAAUAUUAUCGAUACAUUACUUGUGAUAGCGAUACUUCCUAUUCUUAUAGGAAACCACGAGUUUUCUUAAGUAUUAUUAUUGUCCAAUUCUGUACAAAUAAUAUUUUCGAUUUGUUAAUUUGAUAUUAAUUUAAAAUAAUAUCAAUUUUUAAGAUUCGUUAGAUAUUUAUUAUAAUAUCAAGUGUCUCUAGUAUCAAAGUAUUCAAGUAUAUAGACUAUAAUAUUAUGUUUCAAUACUUAAGUAGUUAAUUGUUUGAUUAUUCAAAUACAUAUUCGAAUUUUGAAUCCAAGAUUCAUAUAUUUUGAAUAUUUUGGACAUAUAAUAAGAGCCCUGCUAAUAUUCGAAUAUUUGAAUCUAAAUUAAAUAAAUUGAAUGAAAUUAAUAUAUAAGGUUAAUGUGCAAAGUUUGAUAUAUUACAUAUAAAUUAUAUAUAUAAAUUUGCAUAUAAUUAUGCAUUUAAUAAAUAAAUCUCA
This is a long non-coding RNA of Apis cerana (Asiatic honeybee), 1468 nucleotides long. RefSeq lists it as uncharacterized. Lineage: Eukaryota; Metazoa; Arthropoda; Insecta; Hymenoptera; Apidae. The record is from RefSeq and is a predicted model, not a curated record.